RNAcentral lists this ribosomal RNA (254 nucleotides) under uncultured bacterium. RNAcentral describes it as "partial 16S ribosomal RNA". It matches the Rfam family "Bacterial small subunit ribosomal RNA", at positions 524 to 776 of the family's 1533-position model. The record is from RNAcentral.
UACGGGGGGAGCAAGCGUUGUUCGGAUUUACUGGGCGUAAAGGGCGCGUAGGCGGUCAGCACAAGUCAGUUGUGAAAUCUCCGGGCUUAACUCGGAAAGGUCAACUGAUACUGUGCGACUAGAGUGCAGAAGGGGCAACUGGAAUUCUCGGUGUAGCGGUGAAAUGCGUAGAUAUCGAGAGGAACACCUGCGGCGAAGGCGGGUUGCUGGGACGGUAUUGACGCUGAGACGCGAAAGCGUGGGGAGCAAACAGG